RNAcentral lists this long non-coding RNA (838 nucleotides) under Marmota monax (woodchuck). The record is from RNAcentral. Lineage: Eukaryota; Metazoa; Chordata; Mammalia; Rodentia; Sciuridae.
CUCCAAUUGGGGUCACACGGUCACCACGCUGGCGAGCCGCUGGGCCUGCUCCGGGCGCGGGCGGCGGCCCGGCUCGACGACAAAUGGAGAGAGACUCGGGUGUCUGUGCCUCACCCUCCCUACCAGGAGACCAACUGUUUCUGUCGCCGCUGGUAUUGAUGAAGUUCUCUCCUCCGCCGCUUUCUGAUGACAUCAGAUCUCUGCCAUGUUGGUAUCCUAUGCGAAUGGCAGCAUUUCAUUCCCUUUGCCGGGUAACCAAAGCAACGGGUGAGUCCUGACCGGCCCUCAGCAGGUCCCAGACUGAGAAGCAGAUUCCGCGGGCUCCUUAGCCCUGGGCCAGAGCAGUUCCAGGAGCCGGAACUCGGCUGCUCCGUGCUCGGUGUAUGCUCUGAUAAGAGCAGGCUCCAAGAAGCAGUUUCCGUGGGCUCCUUAGCCCUGGGCCAGGGCAGUUCCGGGAGUGGGAACUCGGCCGCUCUGUGCUCGGUGUAUGCUCUGAUAAGAGCAGGCUCCAAGAAGCACUCAGGCACUGAGCCUGAGUAAUCUGUCUGCAAGCUGCAGGCGAAUGGCAGCCUGAAAUUACCUGUUCUAUGGCUGAAUGAGCUUCCUUCAGUCGAAAACAGGGUUGGUGAUGUCAGCUCUCCAAGAUGGUGGCCGCUGGCCUCCUCUGUGGUCUGACCGGUGUGCAGAACCGAAAUGGACCGCUUCCUUCCCCCGUCUCGAACCCAGAAUUCAGCACUGAUUACAGUGCUUGCACGGCUGGCAGAAACUGCAGCGCUGUAUCCCUGAGCCACUAUCUCCUCCUCGUUUCCCAGCGUGCGCUGCAGACUCUAGCCGCGGG